CAAUAGCAUAUAUGAAUGUUGUUGCAGUUAAAACGCUCGUAGUCGAUAUUAUCGGACCUACUACAUUUUGUAGACAGGAACGUUACCAAGCCGUUAAAUCGGUAACAGAGAGCACUUUUUUGCUUCUUGGCAUAUAUGCUACUAGGAGACGUGUUAACGCCGUUUCCUACGAUGUAGUAAUUACCUUGAAUGAAUCAGAGUUCUCAAAGCAGUGCAUGGGCACGUUGAAUGAUCAAGCAUGGGAUAAUACAUAACACUGUUGACAUUUUGUAUUGGUGUGAAAUCAGGCCAUAACUUACAAGUGAUUAAUAGGAACAGUUGAGGGUUCUAGUACUGAAUGGCGAGAGGUGAAAUUCUUAGACCCAUUCAUGACUUUCUGCGGCGAAAGCAUUUACCAAGGAUGUUUUCAUUGA
Molecule: ribosomal RNA, 413 nt
Filed under: uncultured eukaryote
Lineage: Eukaryota
Description: partial 18S ribosomal RNA
Rfam family: Eukaryotic small subunit ribosomal RNA
Source: RNAcentral